Molecule: ribosomal RNA, 497 nt
Filed under: uncultured bacterium
Lineage: Bacteria
Description: partial 16S ribosomal RNA
Rfam family: Bacterial small subunit ribosomal RNA
Source: RNAcentral
GAUGAACGCUGGCGGCGUGCCUAAUACAUGCAAGUCGAGCGAACAGACGAGGAGCUUGCUCCUCUGACGUUAGCGGCGGACGGGUGAGUAACACGUGGAUAACCUACCUAUAAGACUGGGAUAACUUCGGGAAACCGGAGCUAAUACCGGAUAACAUGUUGAACCGCAUGGUUCAACAGUGAAAGACGGUCUUGCUGUCACUUAUAGAUGGAUCCGCGCCGCAUUAGCUAGUUGGUAAGGUAACGGCUUACCAAGGCAACGAUGCGUAGCCGACCUGAGAGGGUGAUCGGCCACACUGGACCUGAGACACGGUCCAGACUCCUACGGGAGGCAGCAGUAGGGAAUCUUCCGCAAUGGGGGAAAGCCUGACGGAGCAACGCCGCGUGAGUGAAGAAGGUCUUCGGAUCGUAAAACUCUGUUAUUAGGGAAGAACAAAUGUGUAAGUAACUAUGCACGUCUUGACGGUACCUAAUCAGAAAGCCACGGCUAACUACGUG